AUUUAACUGCUUGGCUCGAUCAAGGUUUUUUCGCUUCAGAUCUAUAAUAAAUAUCUAGGGAGCGGUCACUGAGUUCUGCUGUGGCAUUAAUCAAACUGCACCCACCUUAACAAAAUAGGGUCUAAGAUUGGGAACCGACGACCAAGUGGUUAAAUU
RNAcentral lists this small RNA (156 nucleotides) under Rickettsiales bacterium. RNAcentral's name for it is "6S RNA". The record is from RNAcentral. Lineage: Bacteria; Pseudomonadati; Pseudomonadota; Alphaproteobacteria; Rickettsiales.